CAUUAAACCAACAGCGCCGCUGCCCACUGGGCUCCAGAGGCGACCCCUGACCCCAGGCCCUUCCCUCGCCCCCGGCGGCUCCGGGGGCUUCACGGGGAGGGCGUGAAAGAACCCUUUGUGGAGAAGACCGGCCCCGGACGGGGUUGAGACUCGGUUUCCAACCGAGAACGAUCGUGCCGGUUAAACAUUACUGAGGCUGAGAGUCCGCCGAGGAGGCGGCACGCCUGGGCCGGGCGCCUCUCCCGCCGAGCAUCCUGGGAGCGUACGAGGCAGCCACCCAGCACAUCACCGCACACCCCACUGAGCUCUGACCGUGCGCCAAGCACUGGGCUGGGCGCCGGGGUGGGUACGCAGCUUCCGUCGUGAGCCGCUCAGAGCCGCUGGAUGUUCACUGAAGUUCCUGAUCCAGACGAAGUUCCAGGAGCCGCUCAACCUCAUCGGUUGGGGCGACGUGGCUUAGCCAACGAUGACCCUCGCGGGGCCGGGGCUGAGGAUAAAAGAAGACAAUCCACGACGACGGUUUGUGGAAGCAUCCGGGGACGAUGAAGGAGCUGGAGAAGGCCGGAUUAUUCCUCUGCCACGGGGCUAGAUUGGGUCCCCGGUCAGCGAUCGGCGGGCCACGGGGGCGGCGGGGGCGGGCAGGCGGUCGGUCCUCCCGUCUCGGAUCCCUUUCAGGCAGGGGGCUGGGCCUGGAGCCCAGGAUGAGCCACAUUCUGGAGGAACCGGGCCCACCCUGGGCAGCGGGAG
This is a long non-coding RNA of Ornithorhynchus anatinus (platypus), 747 nucleotides long. RefSeq lists it as uncharacterized. NCBI's taxonomy places the organism in Eukaryota, Metazoa, Chordata, Mammalia, Monotremata, Ornithorhynchidae. The record is from RefSeq and is a predicted model, not a curated record. The transcript has 3 exons.